RNAcentral lists this ribosomal RNA (403 nucleotides) under uncultured bacterium. RNAcentral describes it as "partial 16S ribosomal RNA". It matches the Rfam family "Bacterial small subunit ribosomal RNA", at positions 30 to 526 of the family's 1533-position model. The record is from RNAcentral.
AUUGAACGCUGGCGGCAGGCCUAACACAUGCAAGUCGAGCGAGCGGCGGACGGGUGAGUAAUGUAUGGGGACUGCCCGAUAGAGGGGGAUAACUACUGGAAACGGUAGCUAAUACCGCAUACUAUCGGAUAACCCAUAGGGGAUUAGCUAGUAGGUGAGGUAAUGGCUCACCUAGGCGACGAUCCCUAGCUGGUCUGAGAGGAUGAUCAGCAACACUGGGAGUGCGACACGGCCCAGAUGCCUACGGAGGAAGAAGGGGGGAAUAUGGCACAAUGGGCGCAAGCCUGAUGCAGCCAUGCCGCGUGUAUGAAGAAUGCCCUAGGGUUGUAAAGUACUUUCAGUCGGGAGGCCUUACCGACACAAGAAGCGCCGGCUAACUCUGUGCGAGCCGCCGCGGUAAUAC